Molecule: ribosomal RNA, 892 nt
Filed under: uncultured bacterium
Lineage: Bacteria
Description: bacterial SSU rRNA
Rfam family: Bacterial small subunit ribosomal RNA
Source: RNAcentral
AGCACUCUGAUCAGCCAUGCCGCGUGCAGGAAGACUGCCCUAUGGGUUGUAAACUGCUUUUGUACGGGAAGAAACCCUCCUACGUGUAGGAGCUUGACGGUACCGUAAGAAUAAGCAUCGGCUAACUCCGUGCCAGCAGCCGCGGUAAUACGGAGGAUGCAAGCGUUAUCCGGAAUCAUUGGGUUUAAAGGGUUCGUAGGUGGAUUAGUCAGUCAGAGGUGAAAUCCUGCAGCUUAACUGUAGAACUGCCUUUGAUACUGCUAAUCUUGAAUUAUUGUGAAGUAGUUAGAAUAUGUAGUGUAGCGGUGAAAUGCAUAGAUAUUACAUAGAAUACCAAUUGCGAAGGCAGAUUACUAACAAUAUAUUGACACUGAUGAACGAAAGCGUGGGGAGCGAACGGGAUUAGAUACCCCGGUAGUCCACGCCGUAAACGAUGGAUACUAGCUGUUGGACUUCGGUUCAGUGGCUAAGCGAAAGUGAUAAGUAUCCCACCUGGGGAGUACGUUCGCAAGAAUGAAACUCAAAGGAAUUGACGGGGGCCCGCACAAGCGGUGGAGCAUGUGGUUUAAUUCGAUGAUACGCGAGGAACCUUACCAGGGCUUAAAUGUAAGUUGCAUGAUUUAGAGAUAGAUCUUUCUUCGGACUACUUACAAGGUGCUGCAUGGUUGUCGUCAGCUCGUGCCGUGAGGUGUCAGGUUAAGUCCUAUAACGAGCGCAACCCCUGUUGUUAGUUGCCAGCAUGUAAAGAUGGGAACUCUAACAAGACUGCCGGUGCAAACCGUGAGGAAGGUGGGGAUGACGUCAAAUCAUCACGGCCCUUACGUCCUGGGCUACACACGUGCUACAAUGGUAGGGACAGAGAGCAGCCACACCGCGAGGUGGAGCGAAUCUA